RNAcentral lists this ribosomal RNA (432 nucleotides) under uncultured bacterium. RNAcentral's name for it is "partial 16S ribosomal RNA". It matches the Rfam family "Bacterial small subunit ribosomal RNA", at positions 29 to 507 of the family's 1533-position model. The record is from RNAcentral.
ACGAACGCUGGCGGCAGGCCUCACACAUGCAAGUCGAGCGAGAUCUUCGGGUCUAGCGGCGGACGGGUGAGUAACGCGUGGGAAUAUGCCUCUUGGUACGGAAUAGCCUCGGGAAACUGGGAGUAAUACCGUAUGUGCCCUUUGGGGGAAAGAUUUAUCGCCAAGAGAUUAGCCCGCGUUGGAUUAGGUAGUUGGUGGGGUAAUGGCCUACCAAGCCGACGAUCCAUAGCUGGUUUGAGAGGAUGAUCAGCCACACUGGGACUGAGACACGGCCCAGACUCCUACGGGAGGCAGCAGUGGGGAAUCUUAGACAAUGGGGGCAACCCUGAUCUAGCCAUGCCGCGUGAGUGAUGAAGGCCUUAGGGUUGUAAAGCUCUUUCAGCUGGGAAGAUAAUGACGGUACCAGCAGAAGAAGCCCCGGCUAACUCCGUG